Long non-coding RNA from Mercurialis annua (annual mercury), 261 nucleotides. RefSeq lists it as uncharacterized. The transcript is spliced from 3 exons. NCBI's taxonomy places the organism in Eukaryota, Viridiplantae, Streptophyta, Magnoliopsida, Malpighiales, Euphorbiaceae. The record is from RefSeq and is a predicted model, not a curated record.
GUAUGUGCUUAACAAUUGUGAGGAUGUUGAUGAAUAUCUUAAGAUUCACAUUGAAGAAUUACAAAAGGAAAGUGUUAUAGAUGUGCAAAAAAGACACCAGGCAGGAUUUGCCAGUUGGUUCAAGGAGUGUGUUGGACGCUUACGUGCUACUGGAUUGGUUGCAGCAACAGAUCAUAUAUAUGCGUUGGGAUUAGGUCCUGAUAUACGAAUUGCUAGGUACAGUGGGAUAAUUGUCAAUGGAGUUAGGUUUCACACAGUUGA